GUGGAGUAACCAUUUGGAGCUAGCCGUCGAAGGUGGGACAAAUGAUUGGGGUGAAGUCGUAACAAGGUAGCCGUAUCGGAAGGUGCGGCUGGAUCACCUCCUUUCUAAGGAUUAUAUACGGAA
This 123-nucleotide ribosomal RNA is filed under the name Staphylococcus microti. Its description in RNAcentral is "partial 16S ribosomal RNA". The stretch from base 1 to 104 matches the Rfam family "Bacterial small subunit ribosomal RNA", at positions 1430 to 1533 of the family's 1533-position model. Lineage: Bacteria; Bacillati; Bacillota; Bacilli; Caryophanales; Staphylococcaceae. The record is from RNAcentral.